Molecule: long non-coding RNA, 338 nt
Filed under: Gossypium raimondii (Peruvian cotton)
Lineage: Eukaryota; Viridiplantae; Streptophyta; Magnoliopsida; Malvales; Malvaceae
Description: long non-coding RNA (GRAI_LNC000071)
Source: RNAcentral
CACCAAGUCUCAACUAUUAGUUUCCUCCAUAGGAUACCUGCCAAAUGACUCACAUCUAUCUAUAUAAACUCUCCUCACUAACUAGAUCUCUUUAAAACACCAUUUUACACCCAACAUUGCCAAAUUGGCCAAAGAACCUUUCUUUCAUUUCUUAGGUUACCUAAAAUAUCUUUUGAUGGCUCUUAGCAUUUCUAUGUGAAAUGUCUCCAACCUCUAUCACUAAAUCCUUUAUCAACAUUGCCAUAAGAAUUUAUUUAUAUCAUGUUAUCACAAAAAGUAGAACCUCGUGUUUUUUUAUAGAUUCUUGUUAUACCUUUACAAUAUCACCCUUAUUGAAC